RNAcentral lists this ribosomal RNA (253 nucleotides) under uncultured bacterium. RNAcentral describes it as "partial 16S ribosomal RNA". It matches the Rfam family "Bacterial small subunit ribosomal RNA", at positions 524 to 776 of the family's 1533-position model. The record is from RNAcentral.
UAAGUAGGGUGCAAGCGUUGUCCGGAAUUAUUGGGCGUAAAGAGCUCGUAGGCGGUUUGUUGCGUCGGCUGUGAAAUCCCGAGGCUCAACCUCGGGUCUGCAGUCGAUACGAGCAAACUAGAGUGUUGCAGGGGAGACUGGAAUUCCUGGUGUAGCGGUGAAAUGCGCAGAUAUCAGGAGGAACACCGGUGGCGAAGGCGGGUCUCUGGGCAACAACUGACGCUGAGGAGCGAAAGCGUGGGGAGCGAACAGG